RNAcentral lists this ribosomal RNA (474 nucleotides) under uncultured bacterium. RNAcentral's name for it is "bacterial SSU rRNA". It matches the Rfam family "Bacterial small subunit ribosomal RNA", at positions 8 to 474 of the family's 1533-position model. The record is from RNAcentral.
AGAGUUUGAUCAUGGCUCAGAUUGAACGCUGGCGGCAUGCUUAAUACAUGCAAGUCGAACGGUAACAGAUUCUUCGGAAUGCUGACGAGUGGCGGACGGGUGAGUAAUACAUAGGAAUCUCCCCAUGUAGUGGGGGACAACUUGGGGAAACUCAAGCUAAUACCGCAUAAUUCCUACGGGAUAAAGAGGGCCACUGCUUGCAAGCUCUUGCUACUGGAUGAGCCUAUGUCGGAUUAGUUAGUUGGUAAGGUAAUGGCUUACCAAGACAGCGAUCCGUAGCUGGUUUGAGAGGAUGAUCAGCCACACUGGGACUGAGACACGGCCCAGACUCCUACGGGAGGCAGCAGUAGGGAGUAUUGGACAAUGGGCGCAAGCCUGAUCCAGCAAUGCCGCGUGUGUGAAGAAGGCCUGCGGGUUGUAAAGCACUUUCAAUUGGGAAGAAAGAUUAUGAGUUAAUACCUUAUAAUAUUGACG